Molecule: RNA transcript, 16232 nt
Organism: Columba livia (rock pigeon)
Lineage: Eukaryota; Metazoa; Chordata; Aves; Columbiformes; Columbidae
Gene: IRS1
Gene name: insulin receptor substrate 1
Exons: 6
Source: RefSeq, a predicted model, not a curated record
CAGGGAGGGAGGGCGGAGAGCGCCGGGGCGGGCCGCGGGGCCGCGGCGCUGGGCUGGCCGGGAGCCUGGCGGCGGCGGCUCCGGGGAUGGUCCACGCACUGGCGCCGUCACGUGUUGUUCUCCUUGGAGUGAGCCUGAGCCGCGGCGGCGGGCGGAGGGGGCUGGACGGGCGAGCGCCGACCCCGCCGCCUGUUUUGGUGCGGGGCGCCGGGAAACUCCGCGAAGAAGCCGCCGGAGAGGGAGUCGCCGCGGCGGUGCCCGCUCCCCCGCCGGCCUGGGGCACGGGAGGGGGCCGCGCCGCCGGCCGCUGAGGCGCUGCCGACUGGAAUGAAGAGGAGGAGGAAGAGAGGAUGUUCCGUCGGCACUUGGGCUGCCUCCCCUCCCGCCGCUGCCGGGCUGCCGCGUGUGGAAAUGGCACUUUCUCCGCCUAACGAGAUGGGACUGAAUGGGGUCGCCAGCCGCCUCCGCGCACACGAGCGGCAGCAGCAGCAACCUCAGCGCUGAUAUUUGGGGAAGAAGGGGAUUGUGUUGUGGGAGGCUGCUUUUUGUCUUUUUUUUUUUUUGCUUUUUCUCUUUUUCGGGUGAAGGGGAAGAGAGGGGGAAAGCAGCGUGUAUUUUUGGGUGCAAACCCCGGACUUUGCAAAACAAUCUCCGCCCCCAAGAGGAUAUUUAAUCUGCAACAGAAAUCGCUACUCUCGGAGGCAAACUUGAGACGGGGAAGGGGUGCGGGGAGCGGAGGAAGGGACCCCCGCCCGCACCCGGCCCCGCCGGAGCCCGACCCUGCGGGGGAAGAUGCGUUUCUCUUUCCCGGCGGCUGCUCCUGGGACGAGACUUUCGUCUGGACUGAUCGGGACUGGACUUUUUAAGGGCACGCUUACCCACCUAGGGGUGAUUUGGGCAUAAACAGCAACGCAAACUCCGAUUUGGUGCUGGAAGCUGCUUCUGCCGCUGAACAGCUGCUCUCACCCUGCUUCUGUCCCUCCCCCGUCCCACCCUCAAAAGGGGAUCCUGAGCUAUUUUGCCUUUUUUCCUGUUUUUUUUUUUUUUUUAAUUGUUGCAUGAAUUUUAUUUUAGGUGGUUGCCUUUUCCGACUGGCUUGGCUGUUUUGGGGUCUUGUGGACUGCUAGCUGCAGUAGCAGCUCCACCGCCUCUCAUCAUGGCUAGCCCCACAGAUAACAACGAGGGCUUCUUCUCAGAUGUCAGAAAGGUGGGUUACUUGCGCAAACCCAAGAGCAUGCAUAAACGCUUUUUCGUACUGAGGGCAGCCAGCGAGUCUGGACCCGCCCGGCUGGAGUAUUACGAGAAUGAGAAGAAAUGGAGACACAAGUCAGGGGCCCCCAAGCGCUCCAUCCCACUGGAAAGCUGCUUCAAUAUCAACAAACGGGCUGACUCCAAGAACAAGCACCUGGUGGCCCUCUACACCAAGGACGAGCACUUUGCCAUUGCAGCUGACAGCGAGCCUGAACAGGAGAGCUGGUACCAAGCACUGCUGCAGUUGCACAACAGGGCCAAGGGCCACCACCACCUCCAUCACCACCACCACCACCACCACAGCGAUGUCACCUUUGGAGGCAGCAGCGCUGGACUGGGGGAAGCAGGUGAGGAUGGCUAUGGUGAGGUAGCCCCUGGCCCAGCUUUUAAGGAAGUUUGGCAAGUAAUUCUGAAGCCUAAGGGCCUAGGCCAGACAAAGAACCUGAUUGGCAUCUACCGCCUGUGCCUGACUAACAAGACCAUCAGCUUUGUGAAACUGAAUUCAGAUGCGGCUGCUGUGGUGCUGCAGCUGCUCAAUAUCCGCCGCUGUGGUCACUCUGAGAACUUCUUCUUCAUUGAGGUGGGGCGCUCGGCUGUCACUGGGCCCGGUGAGUUCUGGAUGCAGGUGGAUGACUCGGUGGUGGCGCAGAACAUGCAUGAAACCAUCCUGGAGGCCAUGCGAGCCAUGAGUGAGGAAUUCCGGCCCCGCAGCAAGAGCCAGUCCUCCUCAAACUGUUCCAAUCCCAUCUCUGUGCCCCUUCGCAGCAGGCACCAUGUCAACAACCCUCCACCCAGCCAAGUGGGGCUCAGUCGCCGGUCCAGGACUGAGAGCGUCACGGCCACCUCUCCUGCCGGUGGUGGGGGUGGAGGUACGGGUGGCAAACCCAGCUCUUUCCGGGUUCGGGCAUCAAGUGACGGGGAGGGCACGAUGUCAAGACCUGCCUCUGUGGAUGGUAGCCCAGUUAGUCCCAGUGCCAACCGAACCCAUUCGCAUAGACACCGUGGCAACUCCAGGCUCCAUCCUCCACUCAACCACAGCCGGUCCAUCCCAAUGCCUUCCUCGCGCUGCUCUCCUUCAGCCACCAGUCCCGUCAGCCUGUCAUCCAGCAGCACUAGUGGCCACGGCUCCACAUCAGACUGCCUGUUUCCACGAAGGUCUAGUGCUUCAGUUUCUGGCUCCCCUAGCGAUGGUGGAUUUAUUUCUUCUGAUGAGUAUGGUUCCAGCCCAUGUGACUUUCGCAGCUCUUUCCGCAGUGUGACCCCAGAUUCAUUGGGACACACCCCACCAGCUCGGGGCGAUGAAGAGCUCAACUACAUCUGCAUGGGGGGGAAGGCCACCCCCUCUUGCUGCAGCCUGGCAGCCCCCAAUGGCCACUUCAUCCCACGCACCUGCCACCCGCAGCAGCAGCCCCGCUACCCUAGUACGCCUCGAGGUGGUAGCGAGGAGGUUGCUGACUUGGAGAAGACAUUUAGGAAGCGGACUCACUCUGCAGGCACGUCGCCCACCAUCUCCCACCAGAAGACACCCUCACAGUCUUCAGUGGCCUCCAUUGAGGAGUACACAGAGAUGCUGCCCUCUUACCCCUGUGGCAGCAGCCGGCUGCCCUCCUGCCGGCACUCGGCCUUUGUGCCCACUCACUCCUACCCAGAGGAGUGUCUAGAGAUGCACCACCUGGACAGUGGCCAUCAUCGGACCAACUCUGCCCCGCACAUGGACGACGGCUACAUGCCCAUGUCACCUGGUGUAGCCCCUGUGCCCAGUGGUGAGGGGCCUCCCAAGGGUGGUGACUACAUGCCCAUGAGCCCUAAGAGUGUGUCGGCCCCACAGCAGAUCAUCAACCCUGGCAGGGGAGGCCGCCACCCUCCAGCCACGGUGGACUCCAAUGGCUACAUGAUGAUGUCCCCCAGCAGCAGCUACUCCCCUGACAGUGGCUCUGCGGGCUAUGGCAAGAUCUGGACAAAUGGCGCUGGGCACCACCCGAAACUCUCAGUGGAGAGCAACGAAGGGAAGCUCCCCUGUGGCGGCAGUGACUAUAUCAACAUGUCCCCAGCCAGUGGCUCCACCACCAGCACCCCACCUGACUGCUACUUCGGGGGUGCAGGGCAGCCAGGCAUUGAGGAGGCUGCUGCUACAGCCCAUCACAAACCCAUCUACUCCUACUUCUCACUGCCACGCUCCUUCAAGCACGUGCAUCGGCGGGGUGGCUGCGGGCCGGCAGUAGUGGGCGAGGAGGGCAGCCCCCAGCCCCGCAUCGCUCUUGGCUCUGGUCGCCUCCUCUACGCGGCUGAGGACUCAUCCUCCUCCACCAGCAGCGACAGCUUGGGUGGCGUUGGUGGUGGCACCGACGGUGGCCCCUCGCUGCAAGCGCAGCCCCCGCGCAAGGUGGACACGGCCGUACAGACCAACAAGGGCCGCCUGGCGCGACCCACGCGGCUGUCACUGGGCGGCCCCAAGGCCAGCACUCUGCCGCGGGCCCGGGAGCAGCCCCCGUUGCUCCUGCCCCCGGAGCCGAAGAGCCCCGGCGAGUACGUCAACAUCGAGUUCAUCGCCGGCGACAAGCCGGCCUUCCCCUCGGCCGCCUUGGGGCUGGGUUUGCCGCCGCCGGGCAACGAGGGCGCCGAGGAGUACAUGAACAUGGAUCUGGGGCCCCCGCGGGCCCCCUGCCCCGGCGCCUUUGUCGCCGCGCGGGCGGCCCCCACCGCCCGGCCCGGCCGAGGAGCGGCCCCCGGCGGCCGGGACUACGUUACGAUGCAGCUGGGGGGCGCCGCCGCCGCCGGGGGCUCUUGCUUGGACUGCGCCGACAGCCCUUCCCCGUCGUCGCCCGCCCUCCUGCUCAGCUACGCCGACGUGCGGGCGGGCCGCUCCGCCGCUGAGAAGCCCCCACCGGCGGCGGCGCCGACGGCUUCCCCGGAGCUGCCGCGGCCGCCGGCCGAGCUGUCGGCGGCGCCUCCGCGCUCCUCCUCGCUGCUCGGGGGCCCCGGCGCGGGCAGCGCCUUCACCCGCGUCAGCCUGAGCCCCGGCCGCAACCAGAGCGCCAAGGUGAUCCGCGCCGACCCGCAGGGCGGCCGGCGGCGGCACAGCUCCGAGACCUUCUCGUCCACGCCGAGCGCAGCCCGCGGAGCGGCGGGCGGCGGCGGGCUCGGGGCGCCCUUCCCCUGUGGCGGCGCGGGGGGCGCCGAGGAGGUGAAGCGCCACAGCUCGGCCUCCUUCGAGAACGUCUGGCUGCGGCCCGCCGCGGGGGAGGCGGCCGGCGCCCCCGCUGCCCGCCGGGAGCCGGGGGCCGCGCCCGCCCUGGAGAACGGGCUGAACUACAUCGACCUGGACUUGGUGAAAGACUGCAGCCACCGCCGCCACCACCUGCACCCCUCCGCCGAGGGCGCCGCUCUGCCGGGGGGGAAGCAGCCGCCGCCGAAGGCUCCGGGCCAGCCUCGCGGGAGCGGCCACGCCAGCGACGACUUGAGCGCGUACGCCAGCAUCAGCUUCCAGAAGCGGGAGGAGAUGUAGGAGUCGAGUGCCCGCCGGGGAAGCUUACCAUGAGCCAUGGGAAUUUACAAGGUUUCCAGCAAGGCUGAAGAAAUCCAGGAAACCACAAUGACAGAUCCACUUGAAAAGACCAUUUCAUGAGCGCACUUUCCUAUGCACCGAGCACAGCCCGGACCUUCAUGAAUAGUCUGUUUACUAAGAUGCGGAAAAAGAACCUUUCCAGUGGGUCUUUCACAGAUUCCACCAUCAGAUACUUUUCUUCUUUCACACAGGCUUGAUCCUGAAGUUACUGUUGCCUUCAGGAAAGCUCCUGUUUUUUCUAGCUCUACAUACUGUGUUUUUGAAGCAUAUGAUGAAUGGGAUGCUGUGCAGCUGAAAGAUCACACGUCUCAAAUGGCUCACUUGGCGUUCUCAUACUGAAUGGACUGGCUGAGUUGCAGCUCUCUGACAAGGGAAACGGUUGCUUUUCUCUCAGAACAGCACUUGCUGAUGCAGUGUUUCAUUUGGGGAAGUGUUUUUUUUCCUUCUGCCUCACACAAAGCACCCAGCAAGACUCUGAGACCAGCACUGCUUGUGUUUGUUAAGUGAAGAAAAUGCAGGCUGCUGUGUUACAGAGGCUAGAAGCUUUCCUGGAGGCUAACCUCAAAGACUGAUUCCUACUGCAAAAAGAACUGCAUGGCAUCUACUGUUGGCCACUGUUGGACACAGGAUAACACAGGAUACAUAUUGGCAACACGGACCUUUGGCUUGCUCCAGAAUGGCCGUUCUUACUGUUCUAUGCAAAAAAACCCUACACACAAAACCCUGUCAAACAGUAAUUGAAAAUGCUGAAUGACAAGAAACAAUGUUGUUAGCAAGAAACAAUCCUGAAAUCAAAAUACUGAAAAUCAACCAAAAGGAAAAAAGUUUUCAUCGAAGUGACUUGGCUCCAUUUUCCUCAGUUCUUGGCUAGAACAUUUCCAUUGAUAGAGUUGCUAAGUGCAUUCUAUUUACAAAUAUAAACACUUGAUUUUGAUCAGCAAAAAUGUAUCAGCACACUUGAACAGUGUCAAUGAUGGCAUAAUUACACUCACAAUUUCCUCUCUGUAAUGAUUUUUAAAUGUCAGCAGUCAUUUUUUGUCUAAUUGUAGCCUGUAUGUCAGCACUUCCUCUUAAAACAGCAUGUUCCUCUCUGCUGGAAUUUCACACCUCUCCACUCACUUCAGUGAAGAUAAUGAAGACGAUAUAGGGCUCCAGGAUAUUUUCACUCCUGUACUGUUUUACCACUUAACAUCAAGCGGGCAGCAUAAGGACUACUUAAAAAAAAAAAAAAUUACAAAAUUUGAUCAGUUAGGCUCUAAAUAAUUAUUUGAUUUUAAUCAACAGAUUGAGAGGCAGUCUUUAUUUUUCUGCCCCCCUGCUGGUACUUUCCUAAUAACCUGUUUAAAACCAUGGGCUCAUGAUAAAAAUAUUCUCACACAUCUAUAAUGUAAACAUCCUAGAGGAGGCAGCUUACCCUGCCAUGCCAGUCUCUUGAUCAGUUCCGUGUCUGACAUGCUGCAAAAGCAGGUGACCCUUUCUCUUCAAAGGCAGCCUGUUUAGAGAUGUUAUCACUACAAUCUCAUGCUGUGACCUAGAAAGUGACUUUUGAAAUGCUAUUUUGCAUGGUUCCAGGUAUCUAGAGCCCACAGCAUAACAAAUAGGCACAUCUGGACAUCUGGAGUCUCAGAGCUCUCUUCCUCUUUCCAUAGAUCAGAGACCACAUCAUCAAGUGUAUGAAAGUGGAUCACUUGUGCAUUGAGGUUAGCAGCAAACAUUUUCUACUCAUCUGAACAUACACUGGAAUUGGAAACGGGGACCAAAGAGGCCUCCUUCAAUCCAAUUUGCUUGCAAGUCAUCUUCAGCUCUCUGAUGAUGCUUAGGCAAUAAAGCUUAUAAUUUACUGGCCCAUUUAGUAUCAAAAUAGGUGAAGAGCCAUAAAGAAUGCACACUGUGAAAUCAAAUAAUGAAAUAAUGUUGAGAUGUCUGAUAAAAAAUAGAAUAAAACUGAGUAUCUCUGAUUACAAAUACACACCCAUCCAGAGAUGUCUCAACUCUACUUAUAUGUCUGAAUGGGUCCCCAGAAGAUAGAUAAAUGAAUAAAUUUAAUAAAUAAUAUGCAGGUAGGUUGUGGGAGUGUUUUCUAAAGCCCAUGGUAACAUUUAUUACGUGUCUCUGUGACAUUACCAACACACGUGACAGAUACACAACUGUAUACGUGCACAUAGGCACACGUGAUAACACACAUAUUCCUACAACACAAAUGCUGACCUGGUUCUCCUUGUGUUUUAUGUUGCAUUUUGUGUUCUUCAUUUUUUCUUUUUUGAGUAAAUUAGUGACUCAGAAAUCUCGUGGAGCUGUUGGAAAGGGCAAGAAUUUAUUAACAAUUGCAUCCUGCGCACUUGUGAGAUGUAUCAGUGAGUAGAGACAACCUGAAAAGAGAUGCUUCUGGGUCACCCCGCUGCAGCGAGAUGUCCCCAGGGACCAUUUCAUUAAGGCAACAAAGCAAAUGAAGGAAACUAACAGCCCAGCAAUCAAGAGGAAAAUAAUCCAGUCUUUGAAUACUUCUACGAGAAGAGUGCUGAAGUCAGCCAGACCUGCCAUGGGGAACACAGUGGGUGCAGCUAGCUUGCCUUAAAAGCUGGAAGACUAUGCAAAAGAUGAGCCUAGAAUACAAAGAGACAUUGGUCUAGAACUUUCUCAUUUUCAUACCAAAGAGAAAAGUAGGAGCUAUUAAAAUUAAUUCUAAAUUGUAUGUUAAAUGCUUAUAGCUAUAUUGAAACUUUACCACAAAAGUUCCUUUCCCUAUGAGCAGGUUUCACUUCUGUGCACUGCAAUACAAAGAUGAUCAACACCUCCUUGCCACACUGCUCAGCUAAAGCUAAAUUCAGAAAAGGGAAGGCAAGGAAAGAGCCAUUCCUGGAGUCUUCUGCAGUUCCAGGUGGUUUGUCGGAGGUGGUGAAAAGAAUUUUCUGAAGGCUAAUAAGGUAAAGAGGCUAAUUUGAGGAGCAGGGCCAUCUGUUUCCACAGAAAAGCAAAAACGAUAUUUUACACAUUAGUGUGACCCUGUGUGUAAUGCAAACCCCACGUGGAGUUACCUGAGCUAAUUCUCAGUUACCCUGGUUAGGAGUUUUUGAAUUUAUUGCUGAGUCUCAGUACUUUUGUUUGAACCCCAUGCUUUUUAAUGAACUACAAAAGGCAAAAUGCCUUUCAUUCCCCCUCCCACAACAUUUGAACCUGAGGAAAUACACAAAAGGAAAGGGGAAAUGGAGUUUGCCAUUUCAAUGGGCCAAAAGUAUUGGAUUAUCGAUGAUACACACAGUAAUUUUGUUUCUGUUUUACAACAUUACACUUAAGCAUUCCUAUAGCUUCGAACAAAUAAACACAUGCUGCUGAGAGAAUGACACUUUGUACAUUUAAUGGUGGUUGGGUUCAGCCUGUAAGAGCACAGAACCAUUCUCUAUACCAACAGAAACAGGUUUAUAGCUUUUUAAAACAAGUCUGUUAUGGCCUGUGCCAUUUGGCAGAUUAAUCAUGACUCAGUCACUGCACACAGGGCAUUGACUUCUGCUGCAUGUGAAGGCGUUUGACAUCACUUAAAAAUCGUGCCAAAAGCAUUUCAAGUUGGCCUCUAAGAGAAAGAUGCACAUCAAAUUAGAGACUACAUCUGAAAACUUCAGUUGAUUUGCUUCAUAUGAACUUGAAUUGAACCUCAACCUUACAAAAUAGGGCAUAUUAAAACAUACAGACAGCUUAAUGGUAACCAUGACAACAGUACUUCCAAAAAACCUCAUAAGUAUAGCCAACGUUUCCAUAUACCAUGAGGGAUAUUAUGUUAUUUUGUACACUUAUUAAUAUCAAUUCAUGCUCUGUGGAUUACAUUUCAUCAGUAAAAACUGUAAAUUAUGCAGCUCUUUUCAGAUACUCUAUUAAUUUAUCUUUAUUUUAAAAUAUUUUUUUAGCUAUUUUUGUGGUUUUUGUUGUUGUUUGUUAUGUUGUUUGGGGUAUUUUUUGUUUGUUUGUUUGUUUGUUUGUUUUCCCCUCCUACUCUGACAAGGUCCAUAGGUCCAUACAAAAUGAAGUUGGUCAAAAGUUCCAAGUUUUGGGUACAACAUGGUCUCAAAAUAUUAUCUCAGUUUUAAAAGUCUUUCUUUUGGUAAAAUUUGAUGCUGUAACUAUAGGUGACGUUCCAAUUAACCACAAUAUUGGUUAUAAUUUUUUCACUUUUUUUUUUUUAAUUGUGACAAAGAAAGACUUUUUUUGUUGAUUUAUUUUAGGAAGAGAGCUACCAAUUUUUCAAAUAGCUUAUUACAUUAAAUGAGACUUUAUUAUGAGUAGAUGUCUGUUACUUUUCAGUCCUUAAGGGACUGUUCUUUAGUUUGGUCUCUUGUUGGCACAGAAGUAAAAUGCUUUAUGUCUCAUUUUUGUAACCCAUUUCACCCCAACCAGGGUGAAUUUUAAUCCCCUUUUCUCUAACUAAUUGAGAAAUACAGCCCUUUCCAUCACUUUGGACAGAAAUAUGUUAUUUUGAAAUACCCUGCCAAGAAGCAUUUUCCUAAAUGAGGAUUUUCUAAUCUUUAAUUAGUAUCACAAAUACUUUUGCUGCCUCUACAUUCCUCCAGUGAAAGGUUGUAUAGAGCAAGUCACUGAAUUCUGCAUGUCCUACGGGACUGUGUGAGGAGCUACACACUCCCCUUUCACACAGUGAACAAAAGCCAAAUUCUUCCUUUCUUUUUUAGGUCUGAAACACCAAAGCGAAAGGUGCAAUACUGAGGGCUGAAUACUGAUGAUCAGGCCUUCUUGGGUGGUAUCAGGGUUAGGCUUGAUGUACCUCUAUAAUUCAUCUGCCAUUAUUUCUUUUGCUAUCACAUUGCUUUUCUGGCCUCAUAUAUUUCCCUAAUAACACAGCUACGGUGUUUACUAUUCCUUUCAAGAUCUAAUGAAUUGCAACUACAACGUCCUUUCCCCUAAUGAGACCAGAGCACAAACAGUUCAGGUACUAGCAACCAGAAGCAUUACACAUACAUAUAUAAUUCCUAUGUAUUUUUAUGUCUGUGUAUAAUUAUACAUAUAUAUCCAAUGUAGUCUGUUAAGUAGUGUGAUAUAUGUGUUUGGGAUCAGCCACUUCUAUUAUAUAGCACAUUUACGUGAUAGCUAAGGUAGUCUUAGAGUACAUAUUAGCAUGCAUUAGUAAUGCAUAUCACUCUCAGCUCACUGGUUACGAACUUUGUUAAGUUUCCCUAACUAGAUCUGCAAUUGUACCUUUUAAUCUACUCUGUUUUGGGAAUUAGACCUGGCUUGCACCUGGCCUCUCCUCAAUAACUGUGCCUGCAGUCUCAGAAUAGUGAUAUAAGUGAGGCUUACCCAUCCUGCAGGAAGAAACCUUAAACGUUAUCUGGUUUUUCAUUUGUCUUGAUUUCACCUGUCUGGAGAAUCUGGUUGGCUUCUCCUUGGCUAAGGCCAGAGUGUAAGCUAACAUGUAAGUAGCAUGUGCCAGAAUUUGACUGUAAACUGCUGCCCAAAUUAGCAAAAUUGUUAUCAAUGCAAUUAUGCAAUUAUAACAAAUUGUCUAAAGUUGUAAAGAGACCUUAAAAUAUGGAACUUAGGCAGCUCUCCUGGUGUUAAACACAAGGCUCUAUUUCUUACCUUUUCAAAAUAAAGAGCUUGAAAAAGGAAACUUUCCUUGCCUGUUCCAUUUGGCUAUUCCAGAGUUUGUGGUUUAGGUUGGAUUAAUUCUCAGAUAAAGAACUGACAUAUAGAUAGAAGUUGUUAGAUGUAUGAAUGACAGCUGAAGUAAUGGUAGCAUCUGCCUUUUACUGAUUUUUUUUGGGUCUAAAUUAUCCUUUCCUUAGUGUAUGGAACCUCAUUCUGCUUUGGAGACAGCACGAAUAUAUAACCCAGUAAAUCCUACCUCCACCUGGAUGCCUCCCUCCUUUCUUUAUCUGGUAUUGCAUGAAUACUAAUACUAUAAAGUUACUAUGAGAUAGCACUAAGGGCACAAAUGCACCUGAUUAAUUGUUCUAGCAAUGAGAAAUUCAAAAGCAGUGACACCCUAGAGGUUUUAACGGACGGGAUAAUCAUAGCAUGAGCAAUGAAGACCUGUCAAGCUGUCCUCUUGGUGUGACCCUCUUCUGGCUUUUCAUUCAGCCCUGGCACUGGCCUUUUGCUCUCUCGGGACAUGUCCUACUGCAAUGGCAACCGUUUGUGCCUGCUGCUGGCACCAUGUGUCCUGCAAUCAGCUGCUGUAACCAAAGCCCAUUCAAGCCACUGGGCAGAAGUCCAGCCUGGAACUGGCCAUAGCACUGCUACAUCUUUGGGUGUCACUAACACUAAUUGAAAUGGCAAGCAAGGCCUUUUCGUGGCUAUCUAGUGGUGUCGUACUCCUUCCAUUUUAAAUGCAGUUGGCCCAAGGAAAUGUGACGUUAAAAAAUGUGACAUUAAAAGCACUGUUAGCUGGGAUUUGUAUGAACUAGGAUAUGUAGAAACAGCAACCCAUGCUAAGACAAUAUAUUGCACAUAAAAAAACUAAGAGCUACCAGUCGUGGAAGGUAUCGCCAUGUGUGGCUCUGUGCCUGUGCUGGCCAGGGCACAGUGCCACACUGACGUGUCUAGGAUCCACACUAGCUGGGUUAGGGCAAAAUCCAAGCUCUCUACAGUGAGAUGCAAAUUCUGACUUGUGGAGAAUAGGGAGAAGAGAGGCUCCCUGUCUUACAGUCCUCUGAGAAAAGUUACUGCUUCCCCAAAUGCUUAGGAUCUUUAAGAGACAAGCAAUAAACUGACUUAUUUCUCCAGUAAAUUGGGAAAACACAUCCUUUACUGCUGCAGAGGUUCCUAAAUGAAGCAUAGCUGGAUGGCUGCCAGUAAAGCUUUACUAUAGUAGUUGGCUAGGGAACAAGGACGCCCUGGCAACCACGCUUUAGCGAGGAUGCUGCAUAAUCUUUAACAAACUGUUGUGCACUAAGGCAGAGCGUAGAGGUGGGGGCAGAGGGAACUUCUUCCCAGAGAUUUACAUAGGAGUUGCUGCAGAGGAGAAGGUGAGCACUCUCCAUUGAUGAACAACAAUGCUGGAGAGAUUGAACAGUAGAAGUUUAAGGAUAAAGAGCCUUCAACAAUUUUGCAGGUGUACUUACUCUUUCGUGUACCUGCUUGAAGCCACAAAAUGUGACAAGGUGCCUUUCCAUCAGGGGAUAGAAGAUCUAAGAGAAGGUCAUGCAGGCUCCUUUUGAAAAUAACAAAGAUUAAAGCUUAUAAGGAGAAAGGGGGAAAAAGCUGGGUUAUGAACUGUAAUUGCUUUAGACUGCACUGGCAUCUGUUUGAUCCCUGAUUUAGUUUUGUAGUUUCAAUCCCUUCUUUUAAGUAAGCAAGCAUGCAUCAGUGCACUGGUAGUUAAGGAAUAGUUAUAGGUUUAUCAUAGGUACUGAUGGUUUCACUUGCUGUGCUAAAAAGCUAGAUCAGGUCACUUGUAUGCUGAGGAAGCAAGGUAAGUUCUCUUCAGGCAAUCACUGCCCAUCAUUUGAUGACCCCACUCUAGGGUAAGGGUUUUAAUGCUUUCAUAAACCUAAACUUUUGAGGAAUACACUAGAGGACAGACCAUUGUCUGAAAGAAACCUGCAGAAUACCAUUGGUGUUGCAGCUAUUAACUGAGGCCUUGUAAGCACGUUAGUUAAUUCUACCUACUAGUGACAGCCCAAAAUCUACACCAGGUCUUCGUGAAGUGCAGGUGAGGUCUGGUGACUUCUACCACCCUGCACAUGCUUUCAGCUGGAGGUUCCUCUUCCACACUUUUGUGCAAUAGGAACAUCCACUGCUAAAGAGCAGAUGUCCUUAAUGUCACAAGAAACUCCAGCUGAUUGGGCAGUGGAAUAAACUCACAGGCAGAUCUCAAGUAUUUCUCAAAGAUAGUGUAAAACUGAUCAUUUCAUAGUAUCAGUUAAUAUUUACGAAGUAUCUUAAUUUCCCGGAGGAAUCACUAUAAAGUUGCUGUAGACAUUAUUAUUACUAUAACUAACAGAAACAAUAUUGUAUUCUAUAAUCUACACAAAUACAAAUACACAAAUUGUUUUGUUUCUUAAGAGUACUUAUGUCCUUUAUACAAUUUCUUGUGUAUUUUUCUCUGUGUCCUCUGAUUCACAGGAACUUUAUAAUGAUUUGAAACAUGGGUGGUUUGGGAUUAGUUUUUACUGUCUGUUUUCAUGCAGACUUCUAUGAAGGGUUUGCUAAUGAAACAUGCGUGUGUUUGAAUUAAACCCUUUAAUGCUAGGGGAGGAGAUCAAUUUGACAUGGAAUUCAACUGCUGUUGUUUCUCUGAGGAGAAAAGGCCUGCUGGAUUUAAAAGCAUUUGAGUAUAUCUGUUUGACUGAACUGUUUCCAGUCCAUGUCCUGAAGGGUUAAGAAAACAGAAACCCAUAGUUUUACUGAGUUGUUGUUAUGUACGUUGCCAAGGGAACUGUAGCUGGAAUGUUUAAAUGUGUUGUUUCUCCCCAAGCCCAGAGGAGUGGAGCUUGAGUGUCUUGGUGUGCCCUCAUGUGUGCAAUUAUCCUCUAUGUGGUAGAAGGACUUAUGGAGCUGAAUCAGACUAAAUACUUGUUAGGGACACUAGGUAACAUUCCUGCUAUGCUGGAUGGAGCAAAUUUAGCAUCAUACUCAUUACUUAUGUGAAUCACAGCCAAAAGCAGAAAAGGAAGUAUAUUAAAAGCCUUCCUUAUUGCUUCUCCCUGAUUCCCAUGGACUUCUUUCAGUAAUACACACUGUAGAAAUUAAUGAUUUCUGAGGAGCCUUCCUUAAGAUUUAGGUAAGAGAAAUCAUGAGGUUGACUGAUCUUGACUCAGAUAUCUAGUAUCUCUAUUGUCUUACCUCAUGUGUGAUUUAACUUAGCUUUACUAGUGUAAAACUGAAGGAUGUCAUAUUGAAACCAACUGUUUCAACAGAGGAGGCAAAUUUUAGCCUUGUUUUCAGUUAAUGGUUAGGCUCUCGCACUGUGAACAGACUGGUCUGCAGAAAGUCUAAUUAAGCACUCUGCACUGCCAGAUCAAUUGCUGUAACAAAAAUACAUAUCUAUAUAUAUCUGUAGAGGUCAACUGUGACUUAAAUCUUUCAAGAAGCUGGGAACAACAAGGUCCAAACCCUCCCAAAGCCACCACCAUGCCAUCGUUCUCAAAUGUCGGGCCUGUUCUACCACUACGCUUUUUCCAUGAACAGGUGGCACCACCCAGUUGCGUCAAAACUAGCUAAGCAGCACUCAACCCCUAGUUGAGUCAAACCUUCUUCCAAGUGUAAACUGACCCAUACUUUGACUGAUUUAUAUAUUUCUUCUGGUAUGUAGGAGGAUCUGCAUUCAGGUGAAUGCUUUCAGUUUUGUACUUGUACCUCCUCCUAUCACUGAACAUCAGGUUUUCAACACAGUCCAAGAUAAAUCUGUCUUACUAUAAUUUGAACCAUUUUUUGUUCCAACGGACAUGGAAAACACAGAUUACCUUCUUUGCAGCUGCCCGUCAAGCACUUGAAAGCCCAAUGCUUUCCCAAGGCAUCAUUUCUAAACACCUGAUGAGUCUUGUUGCUUUCUCUGGUUCCUAAGCAGGACUCACAUCUUGAGCUACGGUUACUGAAACAGACAAAGGUCUCCAUCUUGUCAGUGCUGGGGCAGGUUACACACAUUUUAUCCAUGCAAGUCCUAUGCAUACAUCCUACUGUGAAGUUUCCUUUUUUGUUUCUGCCUCAGUAUGAAACCAUUGACAACAGGCUUACUUUCUGCAUCCAGAUAAAAAAGGAAGCUUACUCUUCAGCAUGUCCUGCAGUCCUCAUCCUCCAGUUGUCCAAACUGGGAGUACCUGAACUGCUAAACAAGGAGGAAGACUGAUUCACAUGAUCUCAAAACUUCUUUCAAGCUCUUACGAUUCAUAAAACAUAGGAAACCAGAGCCUUAUGACCAAUGUUAGUAAAAACCUGGGGAUUCAAUGCUUCCAUCAGUGGUCACAGGCCAAGUAUCCUAUUUCCGCUAUGGUCAGAACAAGUAGACAGUGCUGAAUCUAGGCUGGGCACGCUGACAGCUCGCGUUUCCCAACUGUGAUUAAACUGACUAUUUAAAAUAAAAGAACAAAGAAAAAAAGGCAGAGUCUUGUUCACUGAUUUCUGUGGCUCUUUUACUCCAUGUCUUUUGAUACUGCAAUGCAGAGAAGGGCAACUCACAAAGCAUUAAUUUUGAGGUUAAUUCUAUUACAUACUUCUGUGUUUCAUGAAACUCCUGCACAGGUUACUUUGACCAGGCAUGUCUGCACACUUCUGAAAGUGUAAUUGAGGGCAGGACUGAGGUGCAUUGGCAGGAGCUGGACAUGGCUUCCCUGCAGUCUCCUCAUCUCAGGUUUGUACUUCAUCACUCAGAUUUGUCUAAGUUUUAAUUUAAAAUAGUCUCUUAUAAUUCUCUUUAGAUAUCUAAAGUCUUCUAAACUGAAUGCAAAACAAAAUCUCUGAUAUGAGCUGAGCCUGCUAGUUAAAAGACAAAGAAACUAUAAAAAGCAGAGAAAACAUAACAAAGCCCUGCACUCCUCAGACAAGUUUAUCCUGCAAAGGGUACUAAACUCCAGAGGCCUAGCGAUACACAAAGUGCUCCUCACAUCUCUCUUUUUCUUGCUAUUUGUAGCCACAAGGUAAGGAUGACCAAAAAUCUGCCUUUUCCCUUUUAUUAGGUGCGGUAAACGCUUUUGUUUUGGUAGUGCUUCUUUUUGCAAUACACAAAGUUCAUUUUGAGUUUUUUGGGAGCUUUUUGUUUCCUGUCAGAGUGUGGAGGAGAAAGCAGUUCCCGUCUGUAAGUUAUGCGCCCCUUACAGUGCCCCUUAGUUACACAGCGUAAAGAAAGGAGAAACAGAAUCCAUGGCAUCGUGCAGAAAUGCUGCACUAUAUAGUUUGCCCUGGUUAAACAUUCCCAGAAAGGGAAUAACAGAACGCUGCAGAGCUCUUGAGCGUCUUUUGGACAGGUGCUGCAGAGGAUGCAGGCAUUUAGGGUUAAACCGAAACAGUGCUGGGUUCAGGGCAAAUUGGUUUUCAGAUCUGAGCUACAUAGAUCAGAGUUAUUUCCUGUUUGUAUUACUACAACACUACCUCCUCCAUACCUGAAAUAAGUGGCAUCUAGAGCCUUGAAAAGCAAUACUUAACAUCUGUGGGAGAACUUCAGUUUGAUUUAGCUGUGUGCCCCAGUCUUCACCCACUUUUUUUGAUCUUUGUCCAAACAUCUUCAAGUAUGUCUGCAAAACAAAGCUGAAAGUCUUGUAUGUACAGAUUUUUUUGUGGUAUGUAGUUCUGUGAUUUUUUGCCUUAUGUUCCAGAUAUUGAGGGAGAUAUCAAACAGGGAAAACAAAACAAAAACACAAAACAAAACCACAAACAAACAAAAAAACCCCACCACAAACCAACCCACCAAAAAACCCAACAAAAAAAACCACAAAAAAACCAACAAAACAAAAAAGGAAAACACACACCUGCAAGA